AUUGAACGCUGGCGGCAGGCCUAACACAUGCAAGUCGAGCGGAGCGGCGGACGGGUGAGUAAUGCCUAGGAAUCUGCCUGGUAGUGGGGGAUAACGUCCGGAAACGGGCGCUAAUACCGCAUACUAUCAGAUGAGCCUAGGUCGGAUUAGCUAGUUGGUGGGGUAAAGGCCUACCAAGGCGACGAUCCGUAACUGGUCUGAGAGGAUGAUCAGUCACACUGGAACUGAGAUACGGACCAGAAUCCUACGUGAGGCAGCAGUGGGGGAUAGUGCAGAAUGGGCGAAAGCCUGAUGCAGCGAAGCCGCGUGGGGGAUGAAGGCUUUCGGAUCGUAAAGCACGUUAAGUUGGGAGGCGUUACCAACAGAAUAAGCACCGGCUAACUUCGUGCCAGCAGCCGCGGUAAUUC
RNAcentral lists this ribosomal RNA (407 nucleotides) under uncultured bacterium. Its description in RNAcentral is "partial 16S ribosomal RNA". It matches the Rfam family "Bacterial small subunit ribosomal RNA", at positions 30 to 526 of the family's 1533-position model. The record is from RNAcentral.